Molecule: microRNA, 21 nt
Filed under: Macaca fascicularis (crab-eating macaque)
Lineage: Eukaryota; Metazoa; Chordata; Mammalia; Primates; Cercopithecidae
Also listed under: 3 other names
Description: microRNA miR-548ay-5p
Source: RNAcentral
AAAAGUAAUUGUGGUUUUUGC